GAUGAAGAACGCAGCGAAAUGCGAUAAGUAAUGUGAAUUGCAGAAUUCAGUGAAUCAUCGAAUCUUUGAACGCACAUUGCGCCCCUUGGUAUUCCGAGGGGCAUGCCUGUUCGAGCGUCAUUAUAACCCUCAAGCUCAGCUUGGUGUUGGGGCCUGCUGCACUGGCAGCCCUUAAAAUCAGUGGCGGCGCCAUCUGGCUCUAAGCGUAGUAAUUCUUCUCGCUAUGGAGUCCUGGUGGGCGCUUGCCAUCAACCCCCAAUUUUUCUAUGGUUGACCUCGGAUCAGGUAGGGAUACCCGCUGAACUUAAGCAUAUCAAUAAGCGGAGGA
This 328-nucleotide unclassified non-coding RNA is filed under the name soil metagenome. RNAcentral's name for it is "partial contains 5.8S ribosomal RNA, internal transcribed spacer 2, and large subunit ribosomal RNA". The stretch from base 1 to 120 matches the Rfam family "5.8S ribosomal RNA", at positions 35 to 154 of the family's 154-position model. The record is from RNAcentral.